CUAUAUUCUAUAAUAUUGAUAUUAAUCCGAAUUCCCUCUGAUAUAUUACCAUAUUCUCUUUUACAGCUUAAUCCUUGUAGAGUCUUAAGAACCUCUUGUGAUAUAAGCAGCUAAUUCUCACACCGCUGCUUAUAUGUAGAGUAUAUGAUACAACAUAUUUGAAAUUACUCUCUGAGAUAUUAGUGUUUCAUUGUAUGUACUGUACAUGUACAGUGGUGUUCAAUAAGUCAGUGUACUAGAGGCUCAGCACUGAGCUUCAGCACUUUAUCCAUCUCAACUAGAUAUUAAAUAAAAUCUCAACC
This 302-nucleotide small RNA is filed under the name Histoplasma ohiense. RNAcentral describes it as "hypothetical lncRNA". Lineage: Eukaryota; Fungi; Ascomycota; Eurotiomycetes; Onygenales; Ajellomycetaceae. The record is from RNAcentral.